UAAUAAGUGUUUUAUGGCACUUUUUAAAUCCAUAUCCACCUUGUGUGCAAUGACAGUCGGUUUUCUUUUUCGUCAAGAAAAAAAGGAUCGACCAAACAUCAACUUAUUCUAAUUGAACUGUCUGUCUGAAAACUAUUAUGAAUAAACUAAUUCAAAUA
This 158-nucleotide unclassified non-coding RNA is filed under the name soil metagenome. Its description in RNAcentral is "partial internal transcribed spacer 1". The record is from RNAcentral.